GAGAAUCCUGCUCGCAGCAGGUAGAACUGGACACCAAGCCCAAGCAAGAGCAGUUGGAGCCUAUAAAUCCUCCCCUACUGUUGCUUAGCUCGGUUUAAAAUCUACUCUGGCUAGGAACCAGAGGAUGUGUGAAAAGAGAAUGGGGAGAGAGGAAGACUCUGCUGCCAGGAAAGCCACAAGGACAAUUGAUUUGGGAGCCUGCCUGUAUGAGGUGACAUCAUCUCUGGAUUUGGAGACCAUAAACAGCUUCUGAUUCCAACAAUUACAUUUUAAAAAAUAAUGUGGAUCACUUAAUUUGAGAUGCCUCCUUGUCAAUAAAUGGUAAUGUUUUAUUGUGACGUGAA
Molecule: long non-coding RNA, 344 nt
Filed under: Rattus norvegicus (Norway rat)
Lineage: Eukaryota; Metazoa; Chordata; Mammalia; Rodentia; Muridae
Description: long non-coding RNA NONRATT012526
Source: RNAcentral